GGACCAGACUCCUACGGGAGGCAGCAGUGAGGAAUAUUGGUCAAUGGCCGAGAGGCUGAACCAGCCAAGUCGCGUGAGGGAUGACGGCCCUACGGGUUGUAAACCUCUUUUGUCGGGGAGCAAAGAGAGUCACGUGUGGCUCAUUGAGAGUACCCGAAGAAAAAGCAUCGGCUAACUCCGUGCCAGCAGCCGCGGUAAUACGUAGGGAGCAAGCGUUGUCCGGAUUUACUGGGUGUAAAGGGUGCGUAGGCUGCUUUGCAAGUCAGAAGUGCAAUCCAUGGGCUUAACCCAUGAACUGCUUUUGAAACUGCAGAGCUUGAGUGGAGUAGAGGUAGGCGGAAUUCCCGGUGUAGCGGUGAAAUGCGUAGAGAUCGGGAGGAACACCAGUGGCGAAGGCGGCCUGCUGGGCUCUAACUGACGCUGAGGCACGAAAGCGUGGGUAGCAAACAGGAUUAGAUACCCUCGUA
This 467-nucleotide ribosomal RNA is filed under the name uncultured bacterium. Its description in RNAcentral is "bacterial SSU rRNA". It matches the Rfam family "Bacterial small subunit ribosomal RNA", at positions 328 to 792 of the family's 1533-position model. The record is from RNAcentral.